Molecule: microRNA precursor, 84 nt
Filed under: Scleropages formosus (Asian bonytongue)
Lineage: Eukaryota; Metazoa; Chordata; Actinopteri; Osteoglossiformes; Osteoglossidae
Description: mir-25 microRNA precursor family
Rfam family: mir-25 microRNA precursor family
Source: Rfam by way of RNAcentral
AGCUGGUGUUGGGAGGCGGAGACUUGAGCAAUUGCCAGCAAUUCCAGAGGGCAUUGCACUUGUCUCGGUCUGACAGUGCCAACG